This 92-nucleotide transfer RNA is filed under the name Aplosporella prunicola CBS 121167. RNAcentral's name for it is "tRNA-Pro". Lineage: Eukaryota; Fungi; Ascomycota; Dothideomycetes; Botryosphaeriales; Aplosporellaceae. The record is from RNAcentral.
GGUCUUGUGGUCUAGUGGUAUGAUUCUCGCUUAGGGUUCACUCUAAGUUUAUAGCUUGCGAGAGGCCCCGCGUUCGAGUCGCGGCAAGACCC